UUUCCGUAGGUGAACCUGCGGAAGGAUCAUUAAAGAGUAAGGGUCUUCGGGCCCGAUCUCCGACUCUUUGUUUAACUACCAUGUUGCUUUGGCCGGCCCGUCUCACGACCGCCGGAAGUUUGACUUCGACCAAACUUCUGGCCCGUGCCCGUCAGUGGCCCAUUCAAAUUCUUGAUUGAGUAUGAUGUCUUAGUUAAAAACUUAAUAAUUAAAACUUUCAACAACGGAUCUCUUGGUUCUG
This 241-nucleotide unclassified non-coding RNA is filed under the name plant metagenome. Its description in RNAcentral is "partial contains small subunit ribosomal RNA, internal transcribed spacer 1, and 5.8S ribosomal RNA". The record is from RNAcentral.